GGUUCUGGGGCUGCUUUGGAGCUCAGAUCUGAGCCCCCCACCCCAUUCAUCAACGAGCUGUACCCCCCCACACCACCCUCCCCCCCCCGGCAGUGCGCUAUGGCCGCUUUGACCCCGAGGACCAACGCAGCCGUCACUGCCCCUACCUGGACACCAUCAACAAGAGCGUGCUGGAUUUUGACUUCGAGAAGCUGUGCUCCAUCUCGCUGUCCCACAUCAACGUCUACGCCUGCCUGGUGUGUGGGAAAUACUUCCAGGGUGAGCUCUG
This 268-nucleotide long non-coding RNA is filed under the name Gallus gallus (chicken). The record is from RNAcentral. Lineage: Eukaryota; Metazoa; Chordata; Aves; Galliformes; Phasianidae.